RNAcentral lists this ribosomal RNA (388 nucleotides) under uncultured bacterium. RNAcentral's name for it is "partial 16S ribosomal RNA". It matches the Rfam family "Bacterial small subunit ribosomal RNA", at positions 523 to 918 of the family's 1533-position model. The record is from RNAcentral.
AUACAUAGGGGGCGAGCGUUAUCCGGAUUUAUUGGGCGUAAAGGGUGCGUAGGCGGUAAAUUAAGUCUAAGGUUAAAGUGCAGGGCUCAACCCUGUGAUGCCUUAGAAACUGGUUUACUUGAGUUUGGUAGAGGUAAGUGGAACUCCAUGUGUAGCGGUAAAAUGCGUAAAUAUAUGGAAGAACACCAGUGGCGAAGGCGGCUUACUGGGCCACAACUGACGCUGAGGCACGAAAGCGUGGGGAGCAAACAGGAUUAGAUACCCUGGUAGUCCACGCUGUAAACGAUGAAUACUAAGUGUUGGAAAAAUCCAGUGCUGAAGUUAACGCAUUAAGUAUUCCGCCUGAGUAGUACGUACGCAAGAUUGAAACUUAAAGGAAUUGGCGGGG